RNAcentral lists this ribosomal RNA (293 nucleotides) under uncultured prokaryote. Its description in RNAcentral is "partial 16S ribosomal RNA". It matches the Rfam family "Archaeal small subunit ribosomal RNA", at positions 455 to 747 of the family's 1478-position model. The record is from RNAcentral.
GUGUCAGCCGCNGNGGUAAUACCAGCUCCCCGAGUGGUCGGGGCGAUUAUUGGGCCUAAAGCGUCCGUAGCCGGCCUAGUAAGUCUCCUGUUAAAUCCAGCGAUCCAAUCGCUGGACUGGCAGGAGAUACUGCUAGGCUAGGGGGCGGGAGAGGCUGGCGGUAUUCCCGAGGGAGGGGCGAAAUCCUGAGAUCUCGGGAGGACCACCAGUGGCGAAGGCGGCCAGCUGGAACGCGCCCGACGGUGAGGGACGAAAGCCGGGGGAGCGAACCGGUUUAGAUACCCGGGUAGUCC